RNAcentral lists this ribosomal RNA (407 nucleotides) under uncultured bacterium. Its description in RNAcentral is "partial 16S ribosomal RNA". It matches the Rfam family "Bacterial small subunit ribosomal RNA", at positions 30 to 526 of the family's 1533-position model. The record is from RNAcentral.
AUUGAACGCUAGCGGGAUGCCUUACACAUGCAAGUCGAACGGAGUGGCGAACGGGUGCGUAAUGUAUCGGAACGUGACCAGGAGCGGGGGAUAACUACGCGUAAGCGUAGCUAAUACUGCAUACUUUUGCUGCGGCCGAUAUCGGAUUAGCUAGUUGGUGGGGUAAGGGCACACACAGGCGACGAUCCGUAGCUGGUUUGCGAGGACGACCAGCCACACUGGGACUGAGACACGGCCCAGACUCCUACGGGAGGCAGCAGUGGGGAAUUUUGGACAAUGGGGGAAACCCUGAUCCAGCCAUCCCGCGUGUGCGAUGAAGGCCUUCGGGUUGUAAAGCACUUUUGGCAGGAAAGCGGUACCUGCAGAAUAAGCACCGGCUAACUACGUGCCAGCCGCCGCGGUAAUAC